UGCUCGUGGCUAAAUUGAGACACAGGUCAUGCUUCCAUCACAGUAAAUGCAUUGCAGUGGUGACAAUGAGAUCUGUUAACAUUU
This 84-nucleotide small nucleolar RNA is filed under the name Castor canadensis (American beaver). RNAcentral's name for it is "Small nucleolar RNA SNORA1 (ENSCCNG00000017384.1)". It matches the Rfam family "Small nucleolar RNA SNORA1", at positions 53 to 135 of the family's 135-position model. Rfam says of the family: ACA1 is a member of the H/ACA class of snoRNA that guide the sites of modification of uridines to pseudouridines. The record is from Rfam by way of RNAcentral. Lineage: Eukaryota; Metazoa; Chordata; Mammalia; Rodentia; Castoridae.